RNAcentral lists this long non-coding RNA (309 nucleotides) under Elaeis guineensis (African oil palm). RNAcentral describes it as "long non-coding RNA (EGUI_LNC076964)". The record is from RNAcentral. Lineage: Eukaryota; Viridiplantae; Streptophyta; Magnoliopsida; Arecales; Arecaceae.
AUCCCUUUGACCCUUGAUGCUAGGAUGACUUAGAGUUUAAAUUAUCAACUCUUAAUAGUACAUCCAUUAUGUGUCUCAAUCUGAUAAAUCUGGUGACUUCUCACAAAGAUUACUCGGGCCAAGGUUUUACUAAAUUGAAACACAAAGCAUUCUCUCCAAUCUUUUGGAGUGGUCAAUUCCAUCUUAACUCACACACCGACUUCACAAGUACUUGACUGUGCCCAGAAACCUUCCGAUCCUAAAUUAAAAUUUCAGGUAGUCCGGUACCAAAGCACAGUGAGUUGCUUGCAAGUCACCAUGGUGAUCUCA